This 498-nucleotide ribosomal RNA is filed under the name uncultured bacterium. RNAcentral describes it as "partial 16S ribosomal RNA". It matches the Rfam family "Bacterial small subunit ribosomal RNA", at positions 30 to 523 of the family's 1533-position model. The record is from RNAcentral.
AUUGAACGCUGGCGGCAUGCCUUACACAUGCAGGUCGAACGGUAACAGGUCUUCGGAUGCUGACGAGUGGCGAACGGGUGAGUAAUACAUCGGAACGUGCCUAGUAGUGGGGGAUAACUACUCGAAAGAGUGGCUAAUACCGCAUGAGAUCUACGGAUGAAAGCAGGGGAUCGCAAGACCUUGUGCUACUAGAGCGGCCGAUGGCAGAUUAGGUAGUUGGUGGGAUAAAAGCUUACCAAGCCGACGAUCUGUAGCUGGUCUGAGAGGACGAUCAGCCACACGGGGACUGAGAAACGGCCCAGACUCCUACGGGAGGCAGCAGUGGGGAAUUUUGGACAAUGGGCGCAAGCCUGAUCCAGCAAUGCCGCGUGCAGGAUGAAGGCCUUCGGGUUGUAAACUGCUUUUGUACGGAACGAAAAGCCCCGGGUUAAUACCCUGGGGUCAUGACGGUACCGUAAGAAUAAGCACCGGCUAACUACGUGCCAGCCGCCGCCGUAA